UACGUAGGUGGCAAGCGUUGUCCGGAUUUACUGGGUGUAAAGGGCGUGUAGCCGGGCUGACAAGUCAGAUGUGAAAUCCGGGGGCUCAACCCCCGAACUGCAUUUGAAACUGUUGGUCUUGAGUAUCGGAGAGGCAGGCGGAAUUCCUAGUGUAGCGGUGAAAUGCGUAGAUAUUAGGGGGAACACCAGUGGCGAAGGCGGCUUGCUGGACUGUAACUGACGUUGAGGCUCGAAAGCGUGGGGAGCAAACAGG
RNAcentral lists this ribosomal RNA (253 nucleotides) under uncultured bacterium. RNAcentral describes it as "partial 16S ribosomal RNA". It matches the Rfam family "Bacterial small subunit ribosomal RNA", at positions 524 to 776 of the family's 1533-position model. The record is from RNAcentral.